UACGUAGGGGGCAAGCGUUGUCCGGAAUCAUUGGGCGUAAAGAGCGUGUAGGCGGCUUGGUAAGUCCGCUGUGAAAGUCCAGGGCUCAACCCUGGAAUGCCGGUGGAAACUGUCAGGCUCGAGUCCGGAAGAGGCGAGUGGAAUUCCCGGUGUAGCGGUGAAAUGUGUAGAGAUCGGGAGGAACACCGGUGGCGAAGGCGGGUCUCUGGGCAAUUCCUGACGCUGAGGCGCGAAAGCGUGGGGAGCAAACGGG
This 253-nucleotide ribosomal RNA is filed under the name uncultured bacterium. Its description in RNAcentral is "partial 16S ribosomal RNA". It matches the Rfam family "Bacterial small subunit ribosomal RNA", at positions 524 to 776 of the family's 1533-position model. The record is from RNAcentral.